CCCCCUCCCCGGGGGGGUGGCCAGCGCCCGCCAGAGGACCAUCAAACUCCAGUCAGUAAACGAUGCAGUCUGAAAAACAUUUAAUAAACUAAAACUUUCAACAACGGAUCUCUUGGUUCUGGCAUCGAUGAAGAACGCAGCGAAAUGCGAUAAGUAAUGUGAAUUGCAGAAUUCAGUGAAUCAUCGAAUCUUUGAACGCACAUUGCGCCCUUUGGUAUUCCGAAGGGCAUGCCUGUUCGAGCGUCAUUACAACCCUCAAGCUCUGCUUGGUAUUGGGCACCGUCCUUUGCGGGCGCGCCUCAAAGACCUCGGCGGUGGCGUCUUGCCUCAAGCGUAGUAGAACAUACAUCUCGCUUCGGAGCGCAGGGCGUCGCCCGCCGGACGAACCUUCUGAACUUUUCUCAAGGUUGACCUCGGAUCAGGUAGGGAUACCCGCUGAACUUAAGCAUAUCAAUAAGCGGAGGA
This 465-nucleotide ribosomal RNA is filed under the name Botryosphaeria dothidea. Its description in RNAcentral is "eukaryotic LSU rRNA". The stretch from base 93 to 246 matches the Rfam family "5.8S ribosomal RNA". Lineage: Eukaryota; Fungi; Ascomycota; Dothideomycetes; Botryosphaeriales; Botryosphaeriaceae. The record is from RNAcentral.